RNAcentral lists this ribosomal RNA (472 nucleotides) under uncultured bacterium. Its description in RNAcentral is "bacterial SSU rRNA". It matches the Rfam family "Bacterial small subunit ribosomal RNA", at positions 355 to 825 of the family's 1533-position model. The record is from RNAcentral.
UGGGGAAUAUUGGACAAUGGGCGAAAGCCUGAUCCAGCCAUGCCGCGUGUGUGAAGAAGGUCUUCGGAUUGUAAAGCACUUUAAGUUGGGAGGAAGGGUUGUAGAUUAAUACUCUGCAAUUUUGACGUUACCGACAGAAUAAGCACCGGCUAACUCUGUGCCAGCAGCCGCGGUAAUACAGAGGGUGCAAGCGUUAAUCGGAAUUACUGGGCGUAAAGCGCGCGUAGGUGAUUUGUUAAGUUGGAUGUGAAAUCCCCGGGCUCAACCUGGGAACUGCAUUCAAAACUGACUGACUAGAGUAUGGUAGAGGGUGGUGGAAUUCCCUGUGUAGCGGUGAAAUGCGUAGAUAUAGGAAGGAACACCAGUGGCGAAGGCGACCACCUGGACUGAUACUGACACUGAGGUGCGAAAGCGUGGGGAGCAAACAGGAUUAGAUACCCACGUAGUCCCUGAGCGGGCUGGCAAGGCGCAU